RNAcentral lists this non-coding RNA (29 nucleotides) under Mus musculus (house mouse). The record is from RNAcentral. Lineage: Eukaryota; Metazoa; Chordata; Mammalia; Rodentia; Muridae.
UCUGUCUGUGCCACUUUUUUGAGGCCUUG